UGGGGAAUAUUGGACAAUGGGCGAAAGCCUGAUCCAGCCAUGCCGCGUGUGUGAAGAAGGUCUUCGGAUUGUAAAGCACUUUAAGUUGGGAGGAAGGGCAGUAAGCGAAUACCUUGCUGUUUUGACGUUACCGACAGAACAAGCACCGGCUAACUCUGUGCCAGCAGCCGCGGUAAUACAGAGGGUGCAAGCGUUAAUCGGAAUUACUGGGCGUAAAGCGCGCGUAGGUGGUUCGUUAAGUUGAAUGUGAAAGCCCCGGGCUCAACCUGGGAACUGCAUCCAAAACUGGCGGGCUAGAGUAGGGCAGAGGGUGGUGGAAUUUCCUGUGUAGCGGUGAAAUGCGUAGAUAUAGGAAGGAACACCAGUGGCGAAGGCGACCACCUGGGCUCAUACUGACACUGAGGUGCGAAAGCGUGGGGAGCAAACAGG
Molecule: ribosomal RNA, 429 nt
Filed under: Pseudomonadota bacterium
Lineage: Bacteria; Pseudomonadati; Pseudomonadota
Description: Proteobacteria bacterium partial 16S ribosomal RNA
Rfam family: Bacterial small subunit ribosomal RNA
Source: RNAcentral